GCGAGGCCGAAAGGCGUAGUCGAUGGGAAACGGGUUAAUAUUCCCGUACUUCUUACAAUUGCGAUGGGGGGACGGAGAAGGCUAGGUGGGCCUGGCGACGGUUGUCCAGGUUCAAGUGCGUAGGCUUAAGAGUUAGGUAAAUCCGGCUCUUUUUAAGGCUGAGACACGACGUCGAGCUACUACGGUAGUGAAGUCAUUGAUGCCAUGCUUCCAGGAAAAGCCUCUAAGCUUCAGAUUGUAAGGAAUCGUACCCCAAACCGACACAGGUGGUCGGGUAGAGAAUACCAAGGCGCUUGAGAGAACUCGGGUGAAGG
This 314-nucleotide ribosomal RNA is filed under the name Vibrio parahaemolyticus. RNAcentral describes it as "bacterial LSU rRNA". It matches the Rfam family "Bacterial large subunit ribosomal RNA", at positions 1396 to 1710 of the family's 2925-position model. The record is from RNAcentral. Lineage: Bacteria; Pseudomonadati; Pseudomonadota; Gammaproteobacteria; Vibrionales; Vibrionaceae.